CUGUUGAAAACCAGACUGAUAUAUUCAGGAUAGGAGAUUAGAGGGAGCAAUGUUGUUAUGGUUCACUGUGCUAAGAAACUCAACUUAUCAGCAUAAGAAGUCUUUAGUUUAAAGUGGUUCUUUCUUACUUGCAAGCCUUCAGGAGUCCUCAGAGAUGGAGAAAAACAAAUAAUUGCCUGGGGGACUGGACAGCUUUUGAGACAAUUGUCUACAGCAUGGAACAGACUGAAGAACAAUAGAAAACAUUUAAUUCUCCAAAUACUGUAUUUUCCUUUGUCUUUCAGUGAAAAAUUUAAACGUUUUUGUCUCAA
This is a long non-coding RNA of Cygnus olor (mute swan), 311 nucleotides long. RefSeq lists it as uncharacterized. The record is from RefSeq and is a predicted model, not a curated record. NCBI's taxonomy places the organism in Eukaryota, Metazoa, Chordata, Aves, Anseriformes, Anatidae. The transcript is spliced from 3 exons.